AACGAACGCUGGCGGCAUGCCUAACACAUGCAAGUCGAACGAAGGCUUCGGCCUUAGUGGCGCACGGGUGCGUAACGCGUGGGAAUCUGCCCUUAGGUUCGGAAUAACGGUUAGAAAUGACUGCUAAUACCGGAUGAUGACGUAAGUCCAAAGAUUUAUCGCCUGAGGAUGAGCCCGCGUAGGAUUAGCUAGUUGGUGUGGUAAAGGCGCACCAAGGCGACGAUCCUUAGCUGGUCUGAGAGGAUGAUCAGCCACACUGGGACUGAGACACGGCCCAGACUCCUACGGGAGGCAGCAGUGGGGAAUAUUGGACAAUGGGCGCAAGCCUGAUCCAGCAAUGCCGCGUGAGUGAUGAAGGCCUUAGGGUUGUAAAGCUCUUUUACCCGUGAUGAUAAUGACAGUAGCGGGAGAAUAAGCCCCGGCUAACUCCGUG
Molecule: ribosomal RNA, 433 nt
Filed under: uncultured bacterium
Lineage: Bacteria
Description: partial 16S ribosomal RNA
Rfam family: Bacterial small subunit ribosomal RNA
Source: RNAcentral